GCGCACGCGCAGCGGUUGUCGCCCGCGGGAGCGCGACCUGGGGACCGCUCGAGGCGCCGCCGCCCGCAUCAAGAAACGAAAGACAGAAGCUGGACAACACCUGCCCGGCCCACCCUGAGUUCAUCUAGCAUUUUGUUCCUUUGUUUUUGCUUCAGGAAGAAACUGCCUUUUGUUUUGUAAAAAUAAAGAGGCUUAGUUCCACAAAUGCAAUGAGAAAACACUUUCCAGCAGAGUAUUUAGAAAAAGUAAAAACAUGACUAUUCCUGUCGAAGAGGCACUCUACAACCUGCAAUGCCCACAAGUUACUCCAGCACUUUGAGUCUAUCUUUAAUACUUUUCCACCUGCUGAUUUCCAGUUUUGUCUCCAAGGUGGAGUAUCAGCUUGGUUUCCAAUGACCCUCGGAGUGAAGUGGCUGUGAAAGCAUUGACUUUCACCAGGCACGGAAAUGGCUAUCAAAACAUGGGGGGUACCGGGGGACACGAUUUCUUGGCGGCCGCGCGUGCUUCAGCCGUGGGCCCUGUGGACGCUAAUUCGCUCAGGAUUCUUCCAGUUUCCAGCCGCGCGACGUAGACGCUUCUACUAUGGGGCCGUUAGAAUGAGUUAACUAGUGCAUGUCUGUACCACAGAUUUUAAAAAACUGGACACCAUGCUGGACAACAUAAUAUAGGACAGGGCACUUUCAAGCUGUAGUAUGGAAACCAAGCAAUAUAUAAAUGAUCUGCAUUAUAUGCAACCUAAAACUUUACAUUCUUGGGUGUAUUAAACAUUUUUCCCCAAUUGCCAGCUGUAAAAAUAGAGGGUGUGAAUUGGUUAAUAAAAUGUCUUUAUAAUCUGAAGAAAGCAUUUGGCCUCUGUAAUAUGAAGGGAGAGGUAACAUCUACCAUCACUUGGCGGGGGGCUUCAACAUCAAAAGCCUCGAUCGCCUUGACGCAACAGUUUGACUGCCUGACCGAGGGAAAAGAAGCAGUGAAGAGAUGAGACCAUCACAGUGCAUGAUACUAACAAAAGCAACAAAACACACAAUUAACACUAUUUAACACAAACAUCCAUCACAGUGAGGAGGUGUCUGGAGAAGAUUCACUGUGAUGGAUGUUUGUGUUAAAUAGUGUUAAUUGUGUGUUUUGUUGCUUUUGUUAGUAUCAUGCACAAAAUUUUGUUCAUACUUGUUUGAAUAACAAUAAAGGAAAUUCAAUUCAA
Long non-coding RNA from Amblyraja radiata (thorny skate), 1198 nucleotides. RefSeq lists it as uncharacterized. The transcript has 2 exons. NCBI's taxonomy places the organism in Eukaryota, Metazoa, Chordata, Chondrichthyes, Rajiformes, Rajidae. The record is from RefSeq and is a predicted model, not a curated record.